UUACACGACCUGAUGGGGUCAAUGGGCAUUAAGGCCCAUGGCCUAGGUUUGCGACCUCCAAUGCCCUUUGGAGGGGUGCCCAUCUAACAUUGGCCCAUAUAGUUGAGCCUACAUCAUAAUUUCUGAUGC
RNAcentral lists this small nuclear RNA (129 nucleotides) under Olea europaea subsp. europaea. It matches the Rfam family "U1 spliceosomal RNA". From Rfam's summary of the family: U1 is a small nuclear RNA (snRNA) component of the spliceosome (involved in pre-mRNA splicing). Its 5' end forms complementary base pairs with the 5' splice junction, thus defining the 5' donor site of an intron. Lineage: Eukaryota; Viridiplantae; Streptophyta; Magnoliopsida; Lamiales; Oleaceae. The record is from RNAcentral.